This 415-nucleotide ribosomal RNA is filed under the name uncultured crenarchaeote. Its description in RNAcentral is "partial 16S ribosomal RNA". It matches the Rfam family "Archaeal small subunit ribosomal RNA", at positions 330 to 747 of the family's 1478-position model. Lineage: Archaea; Thermoproteati; Thermoproteota. The record is from RNAcentral.
GCGCAGCAGUCGCGAAAACUCCGCAAUACGCGAAAGCGUGACGGGGCCAUCCCGAGUGCCGUCCGCUGAGGAUGGCUUUUCCCUAGUGUAGAUAGCUGGGGGAAUAAGGAGAGGGCAAGUCUGGUGUCAGCCGCCGCGGUAAUACCAGCUCUCCGAGUGGUGUGGAUGUUUAUUGGGCCUAAAGCAUCCGUAGCUUGCCAAGCAAGUCCCCUGUUAAACCCACCGAAUUAAUCGUUGGAUUGCGGGGGAUACUGCUCGGCUAGGGGACGGGAGAGGCCGACGGUAUUUCCGGGGUAGGGGUGAAAUCCUAUAAUCCCGGGAAGACCACCAGUGGCGAAGGCUGUCGGCUAGAACGCGCCCGACGGUGAGGGAUGAAAGCUGGGGGAGCGAACCGGAGUAGAUACCCGCGUAGUCC